CUACGGGUGGCUGCAGUGAGGAAUAUUGCACAAUGGAGGAAACUCUGAUGCAGCAACGCCGCGUGGAGGAUGACGCAUUUCGGUGUGUAAACUCCUUUUAAGAGGGAAGAUUAUGACGGUACCUCUUGAAUAAGCACCGGCUAACUCCGUGCCAGCAGCCGCGGUAAUACGGAGGGUGCAAGCGUUACUCGGAAUCACUGGGCGUAAAGGGUGCGUAGGCUGGCUUCUAAGUCAGAUGUGAAAUCCAAUGGCUUAACCAUUGAACUGCAUUUGAAACUGGGAGCCUAGAGUUCAGAAGGGGCAGAUGGAAUUAGUGGUGUAGGGGUAAAAUCCGUAGAUAUCACUAGGAAUAUCAAAAGCGAAGGCGAUCUGCUGGGAUGAUACUGACGCUGAGGCACGAAAGCGUGGGGAGCAAACAGGAUUAGAUACCCGCGUAGUC
RNAcentral lists this ribosomal RNA (439 nucleotides) under uncultured bacterium. RNAcentral describes it as "partial 16S ribosomal RNA". It matches the Rfam family "Bacterial small subunit ribosomal RNA", at positions 339 to 795 of the family's 1533-position model. The record is from RNAcentral.